GUCCAGACUCCUACGGGAGGCAGCAGUGGGGAAUAUUGCACAAUGGGGGAAACCCUGAUGCAGCGACGCCGCGUGAGUGAGGAAGUAUUUCGGUAUGUAAAGCUCUAUCAGCAGGGAAGAAAAUGACGGUACCUGACUAAGAAGCUCCGGCUAAAUACGUGCCAGCAGCCGCGGUAAUACGUAUGGAGCAAGCGUUAUCCGGAUUUACUGGGUGUAAAGGGAGCGCAGGCGGCGCGCCAAGUCUGGUGUGAAACCCCGGGGCUCAACCCCGGGACUGCAUUGGAAACUGGCGGGCUGGAGUGUCGGAGGGGCAGGCGGAAUUCCUGGUGUAGCGGUGAAAUGCGUAGAUAUCAGGAGGAACACCGGUGGCGAAGGCGGCCUGCUGGACGACAACUGACGCUGAGGCUCGAAAGCGUGGGGAGCAAACAGGAUUAGAUACCCUCGUAU
This 447-nucleotide ribosomal RNA is filed under the name uncultured bacterium. RNAcentral's name for it is "bacterial SSU rRNA". It matches the Rfam family "Bacterial small subunit ribosomal RNA", at positions 329 to 793 of the family's 1533-position model. The record is from RNAcentral.